CUCGCCCCGGAGUCCUGGAGGUACCUGAAAACUUCCUCGAGCUGCAGUUGCUGUGCCGGCUUCCUAGGACAUUCAUCAGCUCGUCCUGUCACCCUGCCAGGUCUCCAUAUGCUCAGCAAAUCUGCGUAAUUGUAAAUCGAAAGUAGGAGCCCUGGACGGUAAAGGCCAAAGAAACUUCUAACAAAGGAUGCAGUUCUCAAAUCCGGUUGUGAAAUUUCAAGAACACUUGCAAUAUUUGAAUCUGGGAGAAGAACAACAAAAAGAAUGAGUGUGGCUCUGGGAAACACUCUACAGGGUUUCUUAACCUUCAAAGAUGUGGCUCCAGAGUUCACACUAGAGGAAUGGGAAAGUCUCAAUUAUGCUCAGCGGGCACUGUACAUGGAUGUGAUUUUGGAGACGUACAACAAUCUACUGUCUGUGGUUUUAUUUUUCAGAAAAUCAUCUGAUACGUGGAAAACAUGGGAAGGUCUUGGAACAAUACACAGAGUGCAUUGUCCAUGAGCAUGUGAAUAUCCAAAAGAAGUUUUGUAAAUGGGAUGAAAUUAGCAAAAUGACUCUUGAAUCCACCCAAAGUACACCUUAUAAAACUCAUCUCCAAGAUCCCUCUCUUCAGUCCUCAAACCUGGAAAGACAUAAAGCUGGCAAAAUGAGAGAAGUUUACAAAUAUAAAGACUUUGUACAGUUUUCUAAUGAAUGUGCUAUCAUUGGUGUAAGUUCCGGAAUGCACACAGAGAACAAAGAACACAAAAAUACAGAAUUUGAUAAGAAUUUUGUCUAUAAACAUAAACUAAUGCUGAAACAAAACAUUAAUGGUAAGAAUCUUCACCAAUGUAGUAAAUCUGAGAAAUGCUUUGCCAGAAAAGGGAAUCUUCAUUUGCAUCAGAGAAUUCAUACAGGAGAGAAACCUUACAAAUGUAGUCAAUGUGACAAAUAUUUUGCCCAACAAUCCUGGCUUAUGCGUCAUCAAAGAAUCCAUACAGGAGAGAAACCUUACAAAUGUAAUCAAUGUGACAAAUUCUUUGCCCAAGAAUCCCAUCUUAGUAUUCAUCAGAGAAUUCAUUCAGGAGAUAAACCAUACAAAUGCAGUGAAUGUGACAAAUGCUUUGGCUACAAAGGCAGUCUGAGAAUUCAUCAGAGAGUUCAUACAGGAGAGAAACCAUACAAAUGCAGUGAAUGUGAUAAAUACUUUAGCCAGCAAUCCAAUCUUACUAUUCAUCAGAGAAUUCAUACAGGAGAUAAACGAUACAAAUGCAGUGAAUGUGACAAAUGCUUUGGCCAGCUAUCCAAUCUUAGUAUACAUCAGAGAAUUCAUACAGGAGAUAAACCAUACAAAUGCAGUGUUUGUGACAAAUGCUUUGGCCUACAAAGGCAGUCUGAAAAUUCAUCAGAGAAUUCAUUCAGGAGAGAAACCAUACAAAUGCAGUGAAUGUGACAAAUACUUUAGCCAGCAAUCCAAUCUUAGUAUUCAUCAGAGGAUUCAUACAGGAGAUAAACCUUACAAAUGCAGUAAAUGUGACAAAUGCUUUGGCCACCGAGUUAGUUUGAGAAUUCAUCAGAGAAUUCAUACAGGAGAGAAACCAAACAAAUGUGGUGAAUAUGACAAAUGCUUUACCCAAAACUACAGUCUUUGUUUACAUCAGAGACUUCAUAUGGAAGAGAAACCUUACAAAUGUGGUGAAUGUGACAUAUGCUUUGGUUGACAGUCUCAUCUUAGUAUUCAUCAGAGAAUUCAUUUAGGACAAAAACCUUUCAAAUUUCCUUUAUGUGGGAAAUGCUUUACCCAUAAGUCUGAAUUCAUCAGAGAAUUCAUACUGGAGAGAAACCAUGGAAGUGUACUGAAUGUGACAAAUCUUUUACUCACAGUUACUUUGACAAUUGUUGAGAGAAUUCAUCUAGGAGAAUAAAUUUACAAAUGUGUGACAAAUACUUUAUCCAGAAAUGCGGACUUCAUAGAGGAGAGAAACCUUAGAAAUGCAGUGAAUGUGACAAAUGCUUUACCCAAAUGUUAGCCUAAAAAGGCAUCAGAGAUUUCACAAUGAAAUAAUACAUGCAAGUGUAAUGUAUGUGAAAAUUGCAUUAACUACAAUGUCUGACAGAUUACAUACAGUAGAGAAACAGUAUAAAUUUAGUCAAUAAAACAAUACCAGCAAAUAUCGUCUUAAAAUUCAUUAGAUAAUAUUAAAGGAGAGAAAAUUUUCAAAAGU
This 2204-nucleotide long non-coding RNA is filed under the name Rattus norvegicus (Norway rat). RNAcentral's name for it is "long non-coding RNA NONRATT023828". The record is from RNAcentral. Lineage: Eukaryota; Metazoa; Chordata; Mammalia; Rodentia; Muridae.